CCUAGCCGUAAAAAUUUAACUACAACAUCAAGCGCCAGGGAAUUACGAGUGCAAACUUAAAAUCCAAAGGAUUUGACGGUGUCCCACCCACCUAGAGGAGCCUGUUCUUUAAUCGAUAAUCCUCGAUACACCUCACCAUUUCUGGCUACUCAGUCUGUAUACCUCCGUCGUAAGCUUACCAUUUGAAUGCAAAAAAGUAAGUUUAAUGAUUACUCGUCAACACGUCAGGUCAAGGUGCAACCAAUGAAAUGGGAAGCAAUGGGCUACAAUCUCUAUUAUAGAAUACACGAAACACUACAUGAAAAACAGUCAUGAAGGCGGAUUUAGUAGUAAAAGAAGAAUAAUGUGCUUCUUUUAACAAGGCCCUGGGACGUGUACAAACCGCCCGUCACCCUCUUCAACAGCGUAACUUAAUUUAUAAUCUUCAAAAGCAAUUUAGAAGAGGCAAGUCGUAACAUGGUAAGUGUACUGGAAAGUGCACUUGGCAAAUCAAAACGUAGCUUAAAUAAAGCAUCUCGCUUACACCGAGAAAAUAUUUGUUAAUUCAAAUCAUUUUGAGA
This 560-nucleotide ribosomal RNA is filed under the name Guibemantis bicalcaratus. RNAcentral's name for it is "partial 12S ribosomal RNA". The stretch from base 1 to 497 matches the Rfam family "Bacterial small subunit ribosomal RNA", at positions 795 to 1533 of the family's 1533-position model. The record is from RNAcentral. Lineage: Eukaryota; Metazoa; Chordata; Amphibia; Anura; Mantellidae.